AGUGAACGCUGGCGGUAGGCCUAACACAUGCAAGUCGAACGGCAGCACAGUAAGAGCUUGCUCUUACGGGUGGCGAGUGGCGGACGGGUGAGGAAUACAUCGGAAUCUACUUUUUCGUGGGGGAUAACGUAGGGAAACUUACGCUAAUACCGCAUACGACCUACGGGUGAAAGCAGGGGAUCUUCGGCCCUUGCGCGAUUGAAUGAGCCGAUGUCGGAUUAGCUAGUUGGCGGGGUAAAGGCCCACCAAGGCGACGAUCCGUAGCUGGUCUGAGAGGAUGAUCAGCCACACUGGAACUGAGACGCGGUCCAGACUCCUACGGGAGGCAGCAGUGGGGAAUAUUGGACAAUGGGCGCAAGCCUGAUCCAGCCAUACCGCGUGGGUGAAGAAGGCCUUCGGGUUGUAAAGCCCUUUUGUUGGGAAAGAAAAGCAGCAGGUUAAUACCCCGCUGUUCUGACGGUACCCAAAGAAUAAGCACCGGCUAACUUCGUG
This 492-nucleotide ribosomal RNA is filed under the name uncultured bacterium. Its description in RNAcentral is "partial 16S ribosomal RNA". It matches the Rfam family "Bacterial small subunit ribosomal RNA", at positions 29 to 507 of the family's 1533-position model. The record is from RNAcentral.